RNAcentral lists this ribosomal RNA (660 nucleotides) under uncultured bacterium. RNAcentral's name for it is "bacterial SSU rRNA". It matches the Rfam family "Bacterial small subunit ribosomal RNA", at positions 94 to 788 of the family's 1533-position model. The record is from RNAcentral.
AGUGGCGGACGGGUGAUUAACGCGUGAGAAUCUGCCUUGGGGUCGGGGACAACCACUGGAAACGGUGGCUAAUACCGGAUAAGCCGAUUGGUGAAAGAUUUAUUGCCCGAAGAGGAGCUCGCGUCUGAUUAGCUAGUUGGUGAGGUAAGAGCUCACCAAGGCAGCGAUCAGUAGCUGGUCUGAGAGGACGAUCAGCCACACUGGGACUGAGACACGGCCCAGACUCCUACGGGAGGCAGCAGUGGGGAAUUUUCCGCAAUGGGCGAAAGCCUGACGGAGCAAGACCGCGUGAGGGAGGAAGGCUCUUGGGUUGUAAACCUUUUUUCUCAGGGAAGAAGCUCUGACGGUACCUGAGGAAUCAGCCUCGGCUAACUCCGUGCCAGCAGCCGCGGUAAUACGGAGGAGGCAAGCGUUAUCCGGAAUUAUUGGGCGUAAAGCGUCCGCAGGUGGCGAUUCAAGUCUGCUGUCAAAGCACGGGGCUUAACUCCGUAAAGGCAGUGGAAACUGAAUAGCUAGAGUGCCGUAGGGGUAGAGGGAAUUCCCGGUGUAGCGGUGAAAUGCGUAGAGAUCGGGAAGAACAUCGGUGGCGAAAGCGCUCUACUGGACGGCAACUGACACUCAGGGACGAAAGCUAGGGGAGCGAAUGGGAUUAGAUACCCC